CGUCUAGGCGGUUCGGUAAGUGGGAUGUGAAAUGCCCGGGCUCACCCCGGGACCUGCAUCCCAAACUGCUGAGCUUGAGUACAGGAGAGGGUGGGGGAAUUCCAGGUGUAGCGGUGAAAUGCGUAGAUAUCUGGAGGAACACCGGUGGCGAAGGCGCCCACCUGGCCUGUUACUGACGCUGAAGCACGAAAGCUAGGGGAAGGCAAACG
RNAcentral lists this ribosomal RNA (209 nucleotides) under uncultured bacterium. RNAcentral describes it as "partial 16S ribosomal RNA". It matches the Rfam family "Bacterial small subunit ribosomal RNA", at positions 568 to 774 of the family's 1533-position model. The record is from RNAcentral.